GAAGGGAACACAGGCAGGUAGCGGCUCAACCCAGGCCCAACCUAGGAGAACUCACCAACACCCCAAUCUACGAAACGAAGACACUGCCCCAACUGUGGUCCUCAGAAGUGAUAUCACAGCCCCACCUGCUCACACACCGAGCUCAGCCAACACGUGCGGGUAUCUUAGAGAUAAGCCCCAGAAGAACAACUAGAACGAUUAUCAGCAAAACCUUAACUACAGAACUAGACGUAGCAGAGGAACAAAGGAUGCCUCGGCAAAGCAUCCAUGGGACAGACGGCCACUCCGGACCAUCGUGGGCACUAUGACCACACGCUGAUAACUCAGUCAGCUGGUCUAAGAGGGCAACAGCACAGGUAAGGUGACAAGCACUGUUCUGUGUAAGAACUUACUGUGGUUUUUCGUUUGUUUGUUUUUCACAUCCGAGAAUUUUAUUGGACAUGGCUCUGGGCCUGGCAGGCCCGGCUCAUGGCCCCCCAGCUAGGGCUGGAGGACAGUGGUUCCAUACAAAACAAUCUCAGAGCACACAGUCACCCCACAAAGCGACACUCUAAAGAUUAUUAUACCUGGGAGACAGGAGGGCUGCUCCACAGAUGUGCAAACAGGUCAAAUCUUUAUAAAUAAACAUACA
This is a long non-coding RNA of Myotis brandtii (Brandt's bat), 631 nucleotides long. RefSeq lists it as uncharacterized. NCBI's taxonomy places the organism in Eukaryota, Metazoa, Chordata, Mammalia, Chiroptera, Vespertilionidae. The transcript has 2 exons. The record is from RefSeq and is a predicted model, not a curated record.